AAGGCCCUAGUUUAAUUAAAGCAUCUGAGUUGCAAUCAGAGGAUGCAGGGUAGUGGCCUGCGGGUCUUA
RNAcentral lists this transfer RNA (69 nucleotides) under Troglodytes troglodytes mosukei. RNAcentral describes it as "tRNA-Ala". It matches the Rfam family "tRNA". Rfam says of the family: Transfer RNA (tRNA) molecules are approximately 80 nucleotides in length. Their secondary structure includes four short double-helical elements and three loops (D, anti-codon, and T loops). Lineage: Eukaryota; Metazoa; Chordata; Aves; Passeriformes; Certhiidae. The record is from RNAcentral.